CUUCAGAGUAUAUUUAAAAGAAUACCGUGCAACAAUAAAGGUGCAGAGUUAAAAAACAAUGCAGCAACUUUAUGUGCAAACAAAGUAUUCAAUAUAUACUCAUUAAAGUGAAACGCAAUUAAGCAGACAGAUCACUCCACGAACUAAGAACGGCCAUGCACCACCUAUCACGCAAUCAUGAAAGGACUAGCAUACUUGAUAUAAGAAUUGCUAUAUAUAAUUAAAAAUAAUUAUAUAUAGUCUUAUAAAAACCUGUCAAUCCUCAGCGUGUUCGGACCUGGUAAGAUUUCCCGCGUUGGGUCAAAUUAAGCCACAUGCUCCACGCGUUCUUGUGGUGCCCUUCCGUCAAUUCCUUCAAGUUUCACACGUGCGU
Molecule: ribosomal RNA, 373 nt
Filed under: Foraminifera environmental sample
Lineage: Eukaryota; Foraminifera
Description: partial small subunit ribosomal RNA
Source: RNAcentral